AUCGCUUCUCGGCCUUUUGGCUAAGAUCAAGUGUAGUAUCUGUUCUCAGUGAAUCAAGUAGCAUUCACUGAGACAUGUGGCUCAGAUCUGACUUCUUAUGGUCAAUCGUCUGUUUGCUACAGCAAUUUUCCUACUCAAACUAUGAGGUCUCUUCAAGUCCCACUCUUUGCCAUAUGCCUCCCUAAUU
Molecule: small nuclear RNA, 187 nt
Organism: Nomascus leucogenys (northern white-cheeked gibbon)
Lineage: Eukaryota; Metazoa; Chordata; Mammalia; Primates; Hylobatidae
Rfam family: U2 spliceosomal RNA
About the family: U2 is a small nuclear RNA (snRNA) component of the spliceosome (involved in pre-mRNA splicing). Complementary binding between U2 snRNA (in an area lying towards the 5' end but 3' to hairpin I) and the branchpoint sequence (BPS) of the intron results the bulging out of an unpaired adenosine, on the BPS, which initiates a nucleophilic attack at the intronic 5' splice site, thus starting the first of two transesterification reactions that mediate splicing.
Source: Rfam